RNAcentral lists this ribosomal RNA (861 nucleotides) under uncultured Spirochaetota bacterium. RNAcentral's name for it is "bacterial SSU rRNA". It matches the Rfam family "Bacterial small subunit ribosomal RNA", at positions 53 to 896 of the family's 1533-position model. The record is from RNAcentral. Lineage: Bacteria; Pseudomonadati; Spirochaetota.
GCAUGCAAGUCGGACGGUAGGGGGAGUUUUCGGAUUCUCCUGAGAGUGGCGAACGGGUGAGUAACACGUAGGUAAUCUACCCUUAGAUGCGGGAUAGUCCAUGGAAACAUGGGGUAAUACCGUAUGAGGCCUAUUGGGGGGAGCCCUGGUGGGUUAAAGGUGCAAUUGUGCUGUCUAGGGAUGAGCCUGCGGUCCAUUAGUUAGUUGGUGGGGUAAAGGCCUACCAAGGCUGUGAUGGAUAGCCGGCCUGAGAGGGUGUACGGUUACACUGGGACUGAGACACGGCCCAGACUCCUACGGGAGGCAGCAGCUAAGAAUCUUCCGCAAUGGGCGAAAGCCUGACGGAGCGACGCCGCGUGAGCGAAGAAGGCCGAAAGGUUGUAAAGUUCUUUUCUACAUGAAGAAUAAUGUGGGGAGUGGAAAGCCCUACAGAUGACGUUAGUGUAGGAAUAAGCUCCGGCCAAUUACGUGCCAGCAGCCGCGGUAACACGUAUGGGGCGAGCGUUGUUCGGAAUUAUUGGGCGUAAAGGGCGUGUAGGCGGUUUCAUAAGCUUGGUGUAAAAGGCUCUGGCUUAACCAGAGUUUAGCGCUGAGAACUGUGGGACUAGAGUUCAGGAGGGGAAGCUGGAAUUCCAGGUGUAGGGGUGAAAUCUGUAGAUAUCUGGAAGAACACCGGUGGCGAAGGCGAGCUUCUAGCCAUGGACUGACGCUGAGGCGCGAAAGCGUGGGGAGCGAACAGGAUUAGAUACCCUGGUAGUCCACGCUGUGAACGAUGUGCACUAGGCGUUGGGUGUGAAUGAACACUCGGUGCCGUAGCUAACGCGUUAAGUGCACCGCCUGGGGAGUAUGCCCGCAAGGGUG